UCCACCAUACAGUCACAAGCUGUAUCUGUGACAGUCCCUUUGAAAUUCAGGCUGAUAAACAGAAUAAUCUUUUCUAGAGGAGGAAAAAGGAGUGAAGGUUCAGUGCCCUGUGACUUAGAAGGUUCAGAUUUCUAAACCUUGAAACUGAAUUCCCUAAAGCUAUCAUCUUCCCAAACAACACAACUUCAGAACUAAUGGAAUUAUUCUGAAUAUUCUUUUUCCUCCCAUAGACAUUUCCUCUACUUCUGCUUUGUUUUUUAGUUGAAGGUACUAUGACCAAAGAAUCAGCUGCUCUGCAUGAAUAGCAUGGUCCAAGUGGAUUAAAGAAAACCUGCUAUAAAACCAUGGUAUUUCUAGUGAUAUAUUGUUAGGAUGUACUCACAUUUAGUUACAUGAUUAUUGAUUAAUGUUUACUUCCCCUAUUCAAGUGUCCAUAUUUGUUGGUGUACAGAAAAGAGUAACCCCUCUGUAUGGUUGUAGUUACUUGCUUCAUGAUAUUUUACUACACCUUUGAAAAACUUACUCUGUCCUCUAUUGUGUAGGUAAAGGCAAUGUCUGAAUUUAUGUUUCAGAACUAUGAAACACAUUAGUCACCAACAUAGCCCAUAUACCUGAGUCAUUUUGGUAGCUUCUUAUCAAAUCUAAGGUUUCCAUAAGCAAGUUGUCUUUCUUCCUGAAAUCAGAGUUAUCAGUGUUUGUUUUCUGCCUAAAUAUUUAUCCUAGUUGAGGAGAAAGAGAGGUACUUAGACCACAUGACCUAUGAGCUUCAGUAACUGAAGAAAAGUUGACAUCCCUGACUAGCUUGAAUGUGUUUACCCACAGUGUGUAUCUAUGUAUAUAGAAUGUUUAUGUAUAUUUUUCUUAGCGUGUAUAAUGCAUAUUGAAUGGUACCUUGCUGCAGUAUUUCUGAUGUUUAGAGUAGUCUUAAAAUACUCAGUUAGCAUCAGCACCACCAUAGCACUGGUCCUGUUAUGGGACUUAUUAACAUUAACUUCAGAGACUCUCAGACAUGCUAAUGGAUAGUCAGAUGACAAGAUGACAAGGGCACUUUUGAAGCAGCAGUUAACAACAACUUUAAGGUUCUUUUGUGGGCCAGGAUCCCAGACUGCCAGUCGCUGGUCAUGUGAUACUGUCCAUCUACAGGAGAUGGGCUGAAAACACCUCUGGGAGAAAGAUGUCUGCUGUCAGUGUGUGUUGCAGGCCAAGACUUAUCCUAGGGCAGGAAAUAGUCUCUGAUUCAACUGGCUUCUGAGGGUCUGGUCCAUAGACAGCCACUUUUUCUGUUGUGAUCAUUUCUUCUCAAUGGUAUAUAGUCGAAAGAAAUGGAAGGUGUUUCCUUUCGGAGGUAUGUUUAACCUUGUACAAUUCACGGUACUGAGGAGUUGUCCUCCUCCUGCCUUUCUGAAGGUACUCCUCCACACCCCUUUCCACCUCACUCCUCAUCCCUGCCUCGUAGCCCAGGGACCUUGGGAUUUCUCUCCAUGUGGAAAACCAUCAUUCUUUUUCAUACAUAUACUUUCAAUAUUAAUUUUUAGUGUAGGAAAUCUUGAUAACUCAUCAAAAUACCUUGUUACAAAUUGACCAAAGAAGUGGCCCAUGUAUAAAAUCCUUGUGUAUUUUGGGGUUUGCCACCACUUCACAUACUGGCUUUUGCAUGGAGGUAUCAUGUACUUGUCAUCAAUCAAACUGAGUUACUAGCAUAUAGAGUCUUUCCAGACCAUAGACAUUUCUGAAAUACAGAUUUCUUUAACCAGUUACUUAAGUCUUAGCAUUGUCUAAUUAAACCAAGCAAUAUUUUUGUGCAUUUUAAAUUAAUCUCAGUAAAAUCAACAGGUGGGUGAGUCCUCUGGUUGCAGUCAUUCCUAGAGGAUAUGGAACUUCUUCUAUUGCUCUUGGGUAAAGCGAGCUUUCUCACACGGCAGUCUUGUGCUGUCUGCAAGACCCUAGAUGCUUCUCCCACUGGCAUCCUAAUCCAGGAGGUGAGGACUGUUUCCUAUGUAGAAAUGAUACUAGGAAAUUAAUUCUGGAAGAGGAAAUUCUGGCUGACUUUUCAAAGACCAGCUAGGUUUGUAUUUUACCAUGUGGCCAGACCACUGAACUUCUAAAGUUGGGGGAGAAUUGCAUAACUAACAGAGAAAGAGGACUUUUGCUGCGUAAGUACUAAGUUACACAGAGUUUUUGGCUGUCUUUGCCCACUCCCCACAAAGGCCCAAGAAGUUGUUCUUAGAUAAAGCACAGCCCUGCUUUGCCCUGAACUGUGCCUCUUUUCUGCCCUUUUCCCCCUAAUCAUUGACAAUGGGAAGAAAACUUUCUAGAAAUCAGCUUCUCCCUUGUCUUCUUGCCAAGACCUUUUUCAGUUCAGUUGAUUAUCCUUAGAAAUUGAAUUCUUUGGCAUUUUUCCUUGUAAUAUCACUUAUUUCACUCAGCCUCAGUUCACAGUAAGUUUCUAAUGUAUGCAGGUCCAAAUCUCUAGUUUUAGUUCUUAUGGACUCAGCAUAAGUUUUUAGCAGGUCCAUAGCCACUUUCCUCAAUUUUAGCAGAGAAUGAUCCCUUUACUUUUUUAAACAAUGGAAUUUUGUUUUCAGUUGUAAAACUAGCACUGUAAACCAAAAAACCAAUGUGGCAUCCUAACACUUGUUUUUAAAAAUAGAGUCCACUUUAUGAAUGAUAGUGCAACUUUGAACUUAAUAGUAUCCGCCUAAAUAGAUUAGUGAGUUUUGUGAGCAAAUGAGCCUCUGGGCCUACCUUUCUCCAAACCUUUCUACCCUUUUAAUCCAGGCCAGGCCACUGGUCUCUUUCAAGGUCAGCAGAUCUCUCCCUCCACCAGUCUUUUAACAUCUUACACCAUCAAAUCAUCCAAAGAUUGUAGAGAUAACCACAGUGUAAUCCUGUGAUCAGUUAUUGGUAGAGAUACAGAGGUACUUUGUCACUGCUUUUCUUUUUGGAUUCCUUUUCCGUCUCUUCCUCUUAAAAGAAGAACUGAAGUCCAAGGUCACCCUCCUUUUAUACCUACAGUAUCCAACCCAAGCCAGGCAACCUUCUGCUUAGGACAGUAAUUGGGCCAUUGCAUGCAGAGAGAAUGUCUUCAGAGAAUGUCAGUAAAUACUUGAAUCUUCAUGACAGUUUGUUGACUUGAAUGCAACAGCAAGAAAUAUGGCAAGUUAAUUGUAUAUACAAUAGGUUUCCUUAGGUCUCUUGGCUCAUCCUUUGUAAUUUAUGUGUGUAUCUGUUGUAUUGUAGGCUUUUGGAAAUAUUCGUAGACAGUAACGUCGGAUGUGAAAGAUAGCGCUUUCUGUUGCGUGCCAAUUUUGUAUUCGUGGGUAUUUAUAGUUGUAUGUAUGUAUAUGCAUCAAUGUGUAGAUUGUGUAUCAGUAUAUGGUAUAUGUACAUCAAAGUUAUUUUGUCUUUAAUAACCAGUGUGAUAGGAAAAGCAAGUAAAAACCUCCUAGGACUGAUUAUAUAAUGCAGUUGUUGCAAAUACAUAUAGUGGUAUUGUUUUAUUUGACUUAAAUUCAAAUGAUAUUUUGAUUAACUUUUAAUAAAAUUUUGUGCUAGGAAAUUCCAUCUGUGAGGUGUGAAUCUCCAGGGCAAAGGUGACUUUGAACUAAAUCAUGUGAAUCUGUUGAAGUGUACAGUCUGCAAUACUGAGGGGUUAGCUCAUUAUAAUUUUGGAAAUACAGAAAGGAAAUGGGGGAAAAAAGGCAACCUGUGCCAUUUUAGUAACUUUAAUAUUAAGAGCACUUAAACAUAAAGUUGAACUGACAGUUGUGGGCUUAUUACAAAAUGUGAUGCUCACAGCGCACAUUCUUUAUUGUUGUAAUUAGUCCAGAAUAUAUAGCUUUCAGAAGCAUUAAGUAAGUUGCCACCAUAUAAUUUAUGUACCUAUGUAUAUUUUACAGUGGCUCAAACCACUCUCCUGGUGCCACAUCCUUACCCUCUUGAAAGAAAUAUCACAAAUGCUAAAGUAUAUCAGGGCAUCCCAAGAUUGGGUACUGUAUUCCAGGUGUGCAGUUGCACAAAUUAGCAACUGGGUCACAGGUAAAAGGACUCUAGGAACCAGGUUAAAACUUUAUUUAAUAUUUUUAUACUUAGGUCUCUUUUUCCUGCCUCUUCCCAAAGAAGAGCCACUGGCCUUAGUUGUUUGACUUGAUUGCUUAUAUUAUAGAGUGUAAAUAGAUAACUAGAGACUAAAAUUUUAUUAACCAGCAUGUUUGGUGUAUUUAAAGCAGCGACUGAGUGUGUUUGAGUGUGUGGUUGAGUGCAGUGUCUUUUGUUCAAACACACUGCCUCAUGUCUUUGUAUCUGAUUCAGAGAAUUGGAAUUGUGGGGUAGGAGUCUAAUCUUCAACCCCAGUCUGCAGUAGUGUCUUGGUAGUUACACUUAGUUUUUUUAAUUAACUCUACAGUCUCAAACUAUUUUUGCAAAUAUAUAUAAUAUUUCCUAAUUUGUUCUUGACGUGCAGAGGACUGACUCUGUAGAUGAUCAGCAAGAUCUGCAAGAGUAUUUCUAGUUCUGCAAGAGUAUUUCCUUCUGAGAAUUAUUUGUGAUUUGCAAAAAAAGAAAAAGCCUUUUGAUUCAGAAAUCAUAUGGAAAAAGAGUAGUGAAAAUAAAAGUUUUAUUUUGGGCCUUAGUCAUUCGAAAUGUUUGGAUUUUAAUAAAAAGCCAUGAAGGCUGUAAAGCCAAAUAACCAUUUGACAUGGAUAUUAAUAUCUACUUUAGAAAGAGUGUGUGUGUAUAUAUAUAUAUAUAUAUAUAUGCACAUUGAUUUUUAAUGCCAUUAAAAUGCUUUUUUAAAGCUAUAGGAACAAGAGUAAUUAGACCAAAUUGAAGUGGAGGGGUUGAGUAGGCUGCCUACCACUUAAGCUAAGCAGUGAAUGUGUUCAGUCCUCUGCUCCUAAGAAAUUCAGAACCAGUUUACUGGCCCUUAAAGGUGUAGGGAGAAAGUUGAUGAGUCUGGGCCCUCUUCUGUAUACACUUGCUUGCACACAUGCACACAGUCAGUGUUUAAAGUUAUACAAAUGUAAGACCUUAAGACACAAAGGGCCGAAGUAUUAUAAAGAGAUGAUGAACAAAUGAGGAGAAUCUAUGUCACAGAUGUUUUCUAAGGACCGAGGAGAAAUUGGGGCUCUUUUGUCUGACUCUGAGAUGCAUUGCAUUGUUAAAAAGGAGCAGGGGUUACCUGUCACAUCCUUCCUGGUGGGCCACAACUUGAAGGUGUUCUUGUAGUUCACAAGCAGCAGCUCUCCAUCAUCUCCCAGUACCUCGGUAGCCUGGGGGAAGAUCCAGAAAACUGGCAUGCACCAUUUUCCAAGGUACCCAAGCCACUUGCUCUACAGGUCGUUCCUUUAAGAAAGGACCAGCAGUGGACAAGCACUUUUCCACAGAAGUGCACAUGACCUUCUGAGCUGUACUGAUGAGAGCUCACACUGAAGAAGGAUGCUGGGUAUUUGAGCACUUUUCCAUCAGCAAGGACAGUGAGGAGAGAACCUAGUGAAAAUAGCAAUUCCCUUUGCAGGGUAGAGAGCUAAGCGCUCACUAAUAGUGUUAUAAAAUAAGCACCUUAACUUCAAUUCCUGAAAAGAUUGGCUAAUGGAGAGAAUUUUGGAGAUUCACCUAAGAUUUUCCCUUGGUCUCCAAGUUCAACCACUCUUAGGAGUCUCAGCCACAAGGCUCAGUGAAGGACCAUGGUGCAGGUUUGAGGCUCACUGUUGUGAACCUGAAUAGCAGAGCACCACAGAGGGAGAUAAUGUCCCCUCUAUGGAGCUUCUCCCCUGGCCUUCCGCUCCACUUGGACUUCUACUGAGCAGCACAUCCUGGGUUUCAAAUGCUUUAGGAAUCCAGCUGUCCCAAUGGGUUGACCCGGCUGAAGGCAAGACACCAACUCUGAGAGUGACUGAGUCACUCAGGGUGGCACAUGAUAAAGGUAAUGAAAAAAUCCUCUGCCUGAAGCAAAGAUCACAGAUUUUGCCUUUGCAAGAAACAAACCAGUACCUUGAGCUCUAACCAGGGUUGGAUGAUAUCUUUGCCUUCACACCUAGAUUUCCAGAAAUGAACAUUGUUUCAUUUCUGUGGGAAGGGUCAAGAAUCAUUAACUUGCUCAGCCAUUCUGCUCUGGCCAGAUGAGAGCUGUUGGGUAAAGGCCUGCAUGCCUCCCUGCACCCUCUUCUACCUCAAGUUUCAGAAGCCCAUUUCUAGAACAGAAAUUUACACAAGUGGAGAACCCACAUUGUUAGCCUUGGUUACUCUGGGACAUGCAGAAGGGUGGUAAUUUGUAUCUUCUAAUAUAAAACAAGACUUACUUUUCCAACCUAUUAACUGGAUUGUAUUCACUGUGGCUCAAACCAGUUGACAGUGUGGAGCAUUCCUUUACCUCCAGAGUUUUCUCCUCCAAUCAUUUCAGUUCCAUUGCAGUCCUGGUGCCAUAUGUCCCCUGCAAAUUGUGAAAGUAAUUAGUGACAAACUAGCAGCCUACUCCUUUUUAGUGGCCAAACUGUCAGCAUCAGCAGACUUGGGUAAGCUAAGCUAGUGGUGCCGUAUUAUGUACUAGAAACCUGUUCCUCAUUAUCAUGUACCAGAUUUGAGAAAUGCCAUCUAGAAAAUCUUGGCAUUUAUGGUGGUCCUCUUUUGGAUGGAACAGUAAUUUAUGUGGAUAUUGUUAAAGUGUUUAAAGACUAUUUUGAAAAUUAAGUUUACAUUUUACAAUUGCUUUAUUUUUAUUAAAAUAGUGUAUAUAAAUAUUACCCUAUUUCACUGUUAUUAAAGUAAAACUAACCCUUGUAGACAAGUGAGUCACCUGACAUGUAUAGAAGCUGUGAUAUACAUAGUACAUUUCUCUAUUAUGUAAAUGUUAAAUGAAUAUAACUGUUCCUGUGUUUUUAUAAGUUGAGGGUAUUUUGUUGUUUCAUAACAACAAAAAUUAUCACAUUUAAAAUGGUUUUUAUGUAAUAGAAAUCAUGCAAAAUAGUGAAGGAUUUAAAAUAUGUAUAUGGUAUAUGUUAAAUGUACAAACUUUAGAAAGAAAUAAAUCCAACAAAUUUCAGUCAUUUGGGGGAAUGUUUUUCUUUGUUUAUUUAAGCAACUAGAACAAUAUCUUUAAAAAUAAAUAACCCAACACCCUAACCCCCCUCCAUGAAAAGGCAACCAGGAUACCCAAGGUGAAAGAUUUGGUCACUGUAACUGACUGAGGAGGUAAGGAAGUUAACUUGUGAACACUGAUUCACCUCCUGGACUUCCGUGAAGAUUUGUGUGUGCAAAAAAAAAAAAUGUUGGUAGGUACUAGUAGAAACUUCAGAGGCUUGUCCUGAUGGGGGAAGGAGGCUUUGAGCAGAGGAAGAACAAAUGAACUUUUUGAGGCAAUUUCAAGAAUCAUUUGCUUUCCCUUUGGAAACCAUGGAAUUAAUUAUUGUCCUGCAGUGCAAAUGCUGACCUCCAAAUCACUGCUUUCUUGUGGCUAGUGUGUACCUUUGUGUUCUCUUAAUGGAACCUAAUGUUAAAUUAAGAUCUGUUGACUUGGAAAAUGAAAAAUAA
RNAcentral lists this long non-coding RNA (7527 nucleotides) under Heterocephalus glaber (naked mole-rat). Its description in RNAcentral is "lncRNA (ENSHGLG00000038014.1)". The record is from RNAcentral. Lineage: Eukaryota; Metazoa; Chordata; Mammalia; Rodentia; Bathyergidae.